The sequence is a ribosomal RNA, 754 nucleotides long. The stretch from base 307 to 460 matches the Rfam family "5.8S ribosomal RNA".
GGCUGGAUCAUUAUCGAGCUUACUAAUAAACGAAAUGCUAGGACUUCGGUCUUAGUAGCGGGAGGCCCUAUGCACGGUGCAUUUGUUGGAUGCAUGKCAGUGCCCCGCAGUGUCAAACGGCUCAGCUGGUGUCUGCCCUUAGCCUAGCGACUGUUGCCUAUGCCGUGGUCGUGUUGAUGGCUUUGGGGACGCGCAUACGUCCUGCUAGUCCAGGGUAGCGGAUGCGAAGACUCAAUGAGUGGUGUGUCCUAUCCACCGCCAGCACCCCCUUUUUUUCAACGAAUUUUUCUAAUAACAUAAGAGUAUCAGCCUUACCGGUGGAUCACUCGGUUCGUGGAUCGAUGAAGAACGCAGCAAAAUGCGAUAAUUAGCGUGAAUUGCAGACGCUUUGAACGCCAAAUUUUCGAACGCACAUUGCGCCAUAGGAGUCUUACCCUAUGGCACGUCUGGUUGAGGGUCGUGAUCAAACACAGCAUGCCUUGAGCUGUAAUAGAGCUAAUUGGCGAAUCAUCAGACCGGCAUCCGCCUUAUUGUCGGUGGUGUUUUGUCAUAAUGCUUUAGAGGGUACGCCUGUAUAGGGUACUUCCUUACCACACGGAUGGGCAGCCGAGUCGACAGACUUUAGGUCCGGCCUCCGGGUAUUGUACAAACGUCUAACGUAUAUACUCGGUAGGCUGAGUGGCCGUCGCUUUGCUUAACCUAUACGUGCUUGGUAGUAGAUUCCGUUAUGAACGGAUUUCCCGACCUCAACUCA